This 490-nucleotide ribosomal RNA is filed under the name uncultured bacterium. RNAcentral describes it as "partial 16S ribosomal RNA". It matches the Rfam family "Bacterial small subunit ribosomal RNA", at positions 30 to 507 of the family's 1533-position model. The record is from RNAcentral.
AUUGAACGCUGGCGGCAGGCCUAACACAUGCAAGUCGAACGGUAACAGGAAGCAGCUUGCUGCUUCGCUGACGAGUGGCGGACGGGUGAGUAAUGUCUGGGAAGCUGCCUGAUGGAGGGGGAUAACUACUGGAAACGGUAGCUAAUACCGCAUAAUGUCGCAAGACCAAAGAGGGGGACCUUCGGGCCUCUUGCCAUCGGAUGUGCCCAGAUGGGAUUAGCUUGUUGGUGGGGUAACGGCUCACCAAGGCGACGAUCCCUAGCUGGUCUGAGAGGAUGACCAGCCACACUAGGACUGAGACACGGUCCAGACUCCUACGGGAGGCAGCAGUGGGGAAUAUUGCACAAUGGGCGCAAGCCUGAUGCAGCCAUGCCGCGUGUAUGAAGAAGGCCUUCGGGUUGUAAAGUACUUUCAGCGGGGAGGAAGGGAGUAAAGUUAAUACCUUUGCUCAUUGACGUUACCCGCAGAAGAAGCACCGGCUAACUACGUG